UACGUAGGGCGCAAGCGUUGUCCGGAAUUAUUGGGCGUAAAGAGCUCGUGGGUGGCUUGUUGCGUCUGCCGUGAAAGCCCGUGGCUUAACUGCGGGUCUGCGGUGGAUACGGGCAGGCUAGAGGCUGGUAGGGGCAAGCGGAAUUCCUGGUGUAGCGGUGAAAUGCGCAGAUAUCAGGAGGAACACCGGUGGCGAAGGCGGCUUGCUGGGCCAGUUCUGACGCUGAGGAGCGAAAGCGUGGGGAGCAAACAGG
RNAcentral lists this ribosomal RNA (253 nucleotides) under uncultured bacterium. RNAcentral describes it as "partial 16S ribosomal RNA". It matches the Rfam family "Bacterial small subunit ribosomal RNA", at positions 524 to 776 of the family's 1533-position model. The record is from RNAcentral.